This is a non-coding RNA of Labrus bergylta (ballan wrasse), 503 nucleotides long. NCBI's taxonomy places the organism in Eukaryota, Metazoa, Chordata, Actinopteri, Labriformes, Labridae. The record is from RefSeq and is a predicted model, not a curated record.
UAGGCCUUGGACUUGGCAGUGCCAUGUGCUUUUUAAGCAUGCACUGGUGCCACAGUGGAAAACGGACUUGCAGGCAGUUAACAGACCAACAUCAAAUGAACCGAACUUCUUUCUGAGGAUUGAUAUGAUUACAGUUAGUCCUACAAAGUCUGUGAUUGGAGCGCUUUUCCUAGCAGCUGUCGGUUUUUCAUAUUCACUGUGUGUUCUGUCUUCUGUCUGUGAUCAAUGGAUAGCAGACUGCUGCUAUAGGUAAUCAAUUGGUGUUUUCUUCCAUAAAAUUUCUUAUUCUGCAGAGUCUCCAUUUUUGUCCAAGUCCAAUGAAGUCUUGCUGAUCUCCACUGAUAGAAUUCAGAAUAUGUGUUGUGGUAAUUAGAAAGCUUGGAGGAGUUCACCUUAAAAUGUAUUCCAACCGCCUCAGUUCAUCACAUGCUUAUCUUAAGACCUGUUUCAGUACUGUUGCCUCCUCAAGAGAUCAGCACUAAAUAAAUUGUAAAUGGACUUGA